ACGGAUAGAGCUCCUCGUCUCUGUUAGAAACGACCAUCAAAAAGAUACAUCAAUUCAUUAGAAUCAAAAGGACAUGAGUUAUCAGAAUUCUUUCUCCUGAAAGAAAGUGGAGAUCAAAGGUAGAACUUCUAGAGACUGAGAUGAAGGCAGAUGAAAGAAGUUAAUGAAACAUUACAUGACUUGAUAAUAUUGCAUGCAAACAAAAACCUUAUGAAAUCAACUGUGUUCUGGUGACCACUUGUUUUUCUUUUUGUCAUAAUACUUUUUUUCUCUCGCAAUGAUAUUGAUUCAUCUGCACCUGACAUCAACUCUGUAUUUGUAGAAGGUGAUAAGAAUUCAAGGAAAUGGAAUAAGUGGCUUUCCCUGCAAUCCCGCAGCAGCAGAAAUGUCCAUUUCCUCUCUCCUGAAUAAUACCACAUUCUCCACUGAGUUCCACAAGUUUCAAGGUAAGAGCAUGAACAUACACAAAGUCACCAUCACUACCCUCACCACCACCACCAUUAUUUCCACCAUAUUCACCCUUUUAAUAUGCAAACUUCCUCCAAGUCUUCCUGAAGUCACCCAGAAAUGCAUUUCCCCAGGAGUGAGUUGCGCUAAUUUUGUAUCCUAUGGAACUCUGGGAAGCUACCCAGAUCUUCAACUCUUGGAGUCUUGCUGACUGCAUGUUCCAGGCUCCACAUUUAAGCUCCAGUGAUUGCUGAUGACUGCACGACCUAAGGCAUGUCCAUCCUUUCUCGGCCUCAAUUUCUUCACCAGUGAAUUCUGGAUGCUGGAGUUGGCAAUAUUUCAGGUUCUUUCCAACUGGAAAUAUCCAUGCUAAUAAUUUUAGUAAGGCAAUAGCCAUAGAAACCUACUGACAAAAUGAGUAUUUUAACAGAGACAGUUGUACUUUCUUAAUUUUUACCAGAAGGGAAUGCAUAUGUAUAAUAUCUAUGUUGCCUUUUAUGUAUAAAAAUAAAUACACAGACAC
This 970-nucleotide long non-coding RNA is filed under the name Pongo abelii (Sumatran orangutan). RNAcentral's name for it is "lincRNA". Lineage: Eukaryota; Metazoa; Chordata; Mammalia; Primates; Hominidae. The record is from RNAcentral.